AGUGAACGCUGGCGGUAGGCCUAACACAUGCAAGUCGAACGGCAGCACAGUAAGGGCUUGCUCUUACGGGUGGCGAGUGGCGGACGGGUGAGGAAUACAUCGGAAUCUACUUUUUCGUGGGGGAUAACGUAGGGAAACUUACGCUAAUACCGCAUACGACCUACGGGUGAAAGCAGGGGAUCUUCGGACCUUGCGCGAUUGAAUGAGCCGAUGUCGGAUUAGCUAGUUGGCGGGGUAAAGGCCCACCAAGGCGACGAUCCGUAGCUGGUCUGAGAGGAUGAUCAGCCACACUGGAACUGAGACACGGUCCAGACUCCUACGGGAGGCAGCAGUGGGGAAUAUUGGACAAUGGGCGCAAGCCUGAUCCAGCCAUACCGCGUGGGUGAAGAAGGCCUUCGGGUUGGAAAGCCCUUUUGUUGGGAAAGAAAAGCAGCAGGUUAAUACCCCGCUGUUCUGACGGGACCCAAAGAAUAAGCACCGGCUAACUUCG
RNAcentral lists this ribosomal RNA (490 nucleotides) under uncultured bacterium. RNAcentral describes it as "partial 16S ribosomal RNA". It matches the Rfam family "Bacterial small subunit ribosomal RNA", at positions 29 to 505 of the family's 1533-position model. The record is from RNAcentral.